This 586-nucleotide ribosomal RNA is filed under the name uncultured Ascomycota. Its description in RNAcentral is "eukaryotic LSU rRNA". The stretch from base 219 to 372 matches the Rfam family "5.8S ribosomal RNA". Lineage: Eukaryota; Fungi; Ascomycota. The record is from RNAcentral.
CUUGGUCAUUUAGAGGAAGUAAAAGUCGUAACAAGGUCUCCGUUGGUGAACCAGCGGAGGGAUCAUUACCGAGUUUACAACUCCCAAACCCCUGUGAACAUACCUAUUGUUGCCUCGGCGGAUCAGCCCGGCCCCGGUAAAACGGGACGGCCCGCCAGAGAGGACCCCUAAACUCUGUUUUUAGUGUAACUUCUGAGUAAAACAAACAAAUAAAUCAAGACUUUCAACAACGGAUCUCUUGGUUCUGGCAUCGAUGAAGAACGCAGCAAAAUGCGAUAAGUAAUGUGAAUUGCAGAAUUCAGUGAAUCAUCGAAUCUUUGAACGCACAUUGCGCCCGCCAGUAUUCUGGCGGGCAUGCCUGUUCGAGCGUCAUUUCAACCCUCAAGCACAGCUUGGUGUUGGGAUUCGUGAGGUAAACUCACGGUCCCCAAAUUGAUUGGCGGUCACGUCGAGCUUCCAUAGCGUAGUAAUUACACCUCGUUACUGGUAAUCGUCGCGGCCACGCCGUUAAACCCCAACUUCUGAAUGUUGACCUCGGAUCAGGUAGGAAUACCCGCUGAACUUAAGCAUAUCAAUAAGCGGAGGA